GCCGACUUAGCUCAAUUGGUAGAGCAAUCGCCUUGUAAGCGAUAGGUUAUCGGUUCAAUUCCGAUAGUCGGCU
This 73-nucleotide transfer RNA is filed under the name Patescibacteria group bacterium. Its description in RNAcentral is "tRNA-Thr". It matches the Rfam family "tRNA". From Rfam's summary of the family: Transfer RNA (tRNA) molecules are approximately 80 nucleotides in length. Their secondary structure includes four short double-helical elements and three loops (D, anti-codon, and T loops). Further hydrogen bonds mediate the characteristic L-shaped molecular structure. tRNAs have two regions of fundamental functional importance: the anti-codon, which is responsible for specific mRNA codon recognition, and the 3' end, to which the tRNAs corresponding amino acid is attached (by aminoacyl-tRNA synthetases). tRNAs cope with the degeneracy of the genetic code in two manners: having more than one tRNA (with a specific anti-codon) for a particular amino acid; and 'wobble' base-pairing, i.e. permitting non-standard base-pairing at the 3rd anti-codon position. The record is from RNAcentral.